GGGAUUCAUGGAAAAGGGAAGUGUAGGCUGGGAGAAUCUCCUGACAUUUAGAUCUAGCAGACUACAGAAAAGGAUCCAUGAGAAAACAAAGAUGUUCUUCCUGUUUGAAAUGUAAAGCUAUGUUUUACAUAUUAGUAAAUAGAAUUAUAUUCAGCCAUAUGAUUUAAGAUUUUAAUCUGGGGGAUUAUUUAUUGUGAAAAUUUUAUCUUUGCUAUUGAAAAGUACUAAAAAGCUGAAAGAUCAAAAAUGCUAAAAAUACGCAGUUAGUAAUCUUUUCCUUUAAUAGGUGGCAAAAAUAUGUUUGUAAAAUUUUUAUUUGAUAAGCUAAGUGUGCUAAUUUUAGACAUAUAUAUAUGUAAAAAAACCUGUUCUAGUGUGAGCAUCAUAUCAUUCUCUUACAAAAUUUGAGUUGUCUUCCACAGAUGCUUUCUUCCUUACAGAUGUCUUAGAAAGGUGUUUACAUUUGUAAAGUAAUGGUUCUUAUAGAAGAAAAAUCAUACCUUUCAUUAGCUGUACUGGUUAUUUUAUUUAAAUAAUUAAGUAUUUUAUAAAAACUAUUGUCUAAAUUACUCAAGCAUCUGUAUGCAUGACUAUGAAAGUGAUUAUUUCACUUAAUUUUAUGUGUGUUUAUAUUUGCUGUGGCACCAUUCAACAUCAAAUUUAAGUAUUCCUGGGUUUGGAAAAAAAAAAAAGAAAUAUCUUCUUAUAUUUGGUCUAAUAUAGUAAAAGAAGAACUUGUUAAUUAGAUGUAUGUUAUGAACUAGUUCUCCAUUCACUUGAAGGAUGGAUGACAUUACUAGUUCCUAUGUCAAAGGCACCGACUAUCUGUGUAGGUGUUUAAAAUAUGCUCGAAAUGGACAGCGGCACUUUUAAAAAUAUCAUUUUGUGUAGUAAUUUUACUGCCUAUUUUGAUAAAGAGAUUGUUCUUAAAAAAGUCCUACCUUGUGAAAAUACUAGUAUUGCUUUUAAAACGGUGAGCAAUGCAUAAUUAUGAAAGGUGUGUGCUAUCAAAUUAGACAUAUUAGUGUAUACUAUUAUCUUAAAAAUAAUAUGAUGCAGUGAAAUUUAGGGAGUUUUGUUUGUUUUUUAAUUUCACGUGUCUAUUUAUUGUCUAGAAAAGAAUAUACCUAUUCCAGAAAAAUCAUCUGUGAGUCCAUCUCAUAAAGAACGGAUAUCAUUUCGAGACCAUCCAGUGCAGUUCAGCGGAGGAUGGGGAUCAGGCAAAAAAAGGACAAAGCUUAAAAAUAUUGGAGAUAAUUUAACUAGUUGAUUUAAUCAAACAUGGAGAGCAUAUGGAGAGCUGGGGUUUUUUUAAGCCUAUGAAUAUUAAUUUUUGGAUUCUCGUUUAGUACCAAUAUAAAGAGUUUCAAUUAACUACAUUUGGCUUUUUUUAUUACACAUGGUUUCAGUGGUUUGGGGUGGUUUUGUUUUGGUCAAAGUAUUUUAUACCUGUCAGUAAGUUAUCAUAGUUUGUGUUUCCAAUUACUUGCAUGUUCAUGUGGUGUAGAAUGCAGAACUGAUUAACCCUACAAGGAUUGUUGUACAGUGAAUAAGUUUAGGCUUGCUUAUAACAACCAGUUGAGAUGUGCAAAAUUUGGUAAUGGUUCAUGCUCAUGUGAUAUAUGUCACAUAUCAAAACAGUGAAUUCUUAUUUUCUCACAAAUAAAAUACAUGCUUGCAAACUGUUGUGAGCUAUAGUAGCCAGCAAUGCCAUUCUUAGAAAAGUCUGUUUAGGAUAUUUCUCUGAAGCACCAAAAAUUCACAGCUAUCUACAAAUGGUGGAGAUAUACUUAUCUUUUUAUUUUAGUAAUAUGAUAAGUCCUCUAGAGCUAAAUUGUGCUCAUAAUAUGAUAAAGCAACCUGUUUAUAGUCUUAUACUUUCAAAGAAAGACUUCUAACAUUUUCAUAGAGGGUUAAAGAAAAAAACAAAUUUACUAAGUUCUCAUUUUGUUCUGGGGUAAUGUAACAUUACAUCCACAUGACACUGCUAACUCAACUUUAUUUGUUCAUGUAGCCAGACUCAUUCGGAUCUGUGUGCAAGAGUUUUGUGGUACAACAAGAUGUAGAGAAAGAAAACUAUUUCAAAAGUUGCUAAUUGGAUCUAGAGAAGUCUGUCUUUGGUAUCUCCUCUAUCUUCUCCAAUAUUGUGAAGCCUCAACCUGCAACAGAUUGAGAAAGGUGGGGAAGUUAAUGGAGCCUGAAACUUCAGUCAGUAAAGAAUAUAAAUUCUAAUGCUGUGGCUGUUUUAAAAAUGUACUUAAAUAUGACAUUAUUUUGUGAGGUGUUUUUUAUGCUAGCAUACAUAUGACUAUGGAUUGAAAGCAAUUAUCUCCAUUUUUGUGAAUACUCGCAUUCAUGUUCAGAUUAAAAGAUGGCUGAUCUCAUGGAAAACCUCCAGUAAAUGACCUUGCUUGUCUG
Strigops habroptila (Kakapo) is the source of this 2418-nucleotide long non-coding RNA. The record is from Ensembl. Lineage: Eukaryota; Metazoa; Chordata; Aves; Psittaciformes; Psittacidae.